This 504-nucleotide ribosomal RNA is filed under the name uncultured bacterium. RNAcentral's name for it is "bacterial SSU rRNA". It matches the Rfam family "Bacterial small subunit ribosomal RNA", at positions 8 to 503 of the family's 1533-position model. The record is from RNAcentral.
AGAGUUUGAUCCUGGCUCAGAUUGAACGCUGGCGGCAGGCUUAACACAUGCAAGUCGAGCGGUAACAGAGGUAGCUUGCUAUCUGCUGACGAGCGGCGGACGGGUGAGUAAUGCUUGGGAAUAUGCCUUUGAGUGGGGGACAACAGUUGGAAACGACUGCUAAUACCGCAUAACGUCUACGGACCAAAGGGGGGGAUUCUUCGGAACCUCUCGCUCAUUGAUUAGCCCAAGUGAGAUUAGCUAGUUGGUAAGGUAAUGGCUUACCAAGGCGACGAUCUCUAGCUGGUUUGAGAGGAUGAUCAGCCACACUGGGACUGAGACACGGCCCAGACUCCUACGGGAGGCAGCAGUGGGGAAUAUUGCACAAUGGGCGAAAGCCUGAUGCAGCCAUGCCGCGUGUGUGAAGAAGGCCUUCGGGUUGUAAAGCACUUUCAGUUGUGAGGAAAGGGGUGUAGUUAAUAGCUGCAUCCUGUGACGUAACAACAGAAGAAGCACCGCUAACUU